This 346-nucleotide unclassified non-coding RNA is filed under the name soil metagenome. RNAcentral describes it as "partial contains 5.8S ribosomal RNA, internal transcribed spacer 2, and large subunit ribosomal RNA". The stretch from base 1 to 120 matches the Rfam family "5.8S ribosomal RNA", at positions 35 to 154 of the family's 154-position model. The record is from RNAcentral.
GAUGAAGAACGUAGUGAAAUGCGAUAACUAGUGUGAAUUGCAGAAUUCCGUGAAUCAUCGAGUCUUUGAACGCACAUUGCGCCCCCUGGUAUUCCGGGGGGCAUGCCUGUCCGAGCGUCAUUGCUGCCCUCAAGCACGGCUUGUGUGUUGGGCCCCGUCCUCCGAUCCCGGGGGACGGGCCCGAAAGGCAGCGGCGGCACCGCGUCCGGUCCUCGAGCGUAUGGGGCUUUGUCACCCGCUCUGUAGGCCCGGCCGGCGCUUGCCGAUCAACCCAAAUUUUUAUCCAGGUUGACCUCGGAUCAGGUAGGGAUACCCGCUGAACUUAAGCAUAUCAAUAAGCGGAGGA